ACCUGAAACCGUGUACGUACAAGCAGUGGGAGCCUCUUAAUGGGGUGACUGCGUACCUUUUGUAUAAUGGGUCAGCGACUUAUAUUCUGUAGCAAGGUUAACCGAAUAGGGGAGCCGAAGGGAAACCGAGUCUUAACUGGGCGUUAAGUUGCAGGGUAUAGACCCGAAACCCGGUGAUCUAGCCAUGGGCAGGUUGAAGGUUGGGUAACACUAACUGGAGGACCGAACCGACUAAUGUUGAAAAAUUAGCGGAUGACUUGUGGCUGGGGGUGAAAGGCCAAUCAAACCGGGAGAUAGCUGGUUCUCCCCGAAAGCUAUUUAGGUAGCGCCUCGUGAAUUCAUCUCCGGGGGUAGAGCACUGUUUCGGCAAGGGGGUCAUCCCGACU
Molecule: ribosomal RNA, 386 nt
Filed under: Escherichia coli
Lineage: Bacteria; Pseudomonadati; Pseudomonadota; Gammaproteobacteria; Enterobacterales; Enterobacteriaceae
Description: partial 23S ribosomal RNA
Rfam family: Bacterial large subunit ribosomal RNA
Source: RNAcentral